This 253-nucleotide ribosomal RNA is filed under the name uncultured bacterium. RNAcentral's name for it is "partial 16S ribosomal RNA". It matches the Rfam family "Bacterial small subunit ribosomal RNA", at positions 524 to 776 of the family's 1533-position model. The record is from RNAcentral.
UACGUAGGUGGCAAGCGUUGUCCGGAUUUACUGGGCGUAAAGCGUGCGCAGGCGGCUUUGCAAGACAGAUGUGAAAUCCCCGGGCUUAACCUGGGAACUGCAUUUGUGACUGCAUGGCUGGAGUGCGGCAGAGGGGGAUGGAAUUCCGCGUGUAGCAGUGAAAUGCGUAGAUAUGCGGAGGAACACCGAUGGCGAAGGCAAUCCCCUGGGCCUGCACUGACGCUCAUGCACGAAAGCGUGGGGAGCAAACAGG